Non-coding RNA from Poecilia reticulata (guppy), 1295 nucleotides. NCBI's taxonomy places the organism in Eukaryota, Metazoa, Chordata, Actinopteri, Cyprinodontiformes, Poeciliidae. The record is from RefSeq and is a predicted model, not a curated record.
UUUCACACCAUCAUCCAGAAUUAGUAAUGGGUUGACAGUGAGGAAAAAACUACUCCAGAUUAAGAACCAAAAGCAGGCUCAUGCAGCCAGCCUCAGUUUCAGAUGGUUUUACACAUGUCUGCCUCUUUCCACAAGGUGAUACCAUUUCUUUGGACAUUUUUUCAGUAGUUCGAAGGUAAUUGAAUCUGAAGAUUAACAGUGGAGCCGAACAAAAUAAAUUGCAGUUUGGUUUUCUUAAAGAGAGAAAAAAACAUUUUUUAUGGCCACUUUCAAGACAAACAGAAUCCAUAAACUUUUUAAAAACAAACUUGUGAUCUUUCUGUUAUACUGGGGGUUGUUUUUAUUUUAAAGAAAUAUGUGUCGCUUAGCAAUAGGGGAGCCAAAACAAACAAGAAGUCUGAUCCAUAGCGAAAACAACAAGACAACAUCUGUUGCCUGCAACCCAAACAUCUACUUGGUAAAAAGUAAAAAAAAAAGAAGAAAUCAAGGAUUCCCUCUCCACUGCAAUACACAGUGAUCCUACCAAGGUGUUCCCAGGCCAGACAGUAUGGCUUUUGGAAAGUUCCAGGUCUUUCCUGUGGUCUCACUAAAGCAGAACAUAAAAAAGACUGGGCCAACUCCCUACUGCAGACGAAGCAUUAAUCUGUCUAUCCAUCUCAUCAAUCGGUCUAUCCAUCUUCAGGUGGAUAAAGACGAAGAGAGUCAUGGAGGAAUUGAGCCAAUCUCCACCAUUGAGUGGGACUGAGGUGCAGCACAUCCUGCAAGAUCUGCAGUCACAUAAACCUAAAGUCUCCAGACUGUCAAAGUGGUUUAGACUGAGGUGGCCACUCAGGUUGAACUGUUUGGAUUUUCUCACGCUGAUCUGUAAUCUGCUCCACAAUGACCUGCAGACUAUUUAUAGAGCUGUCAGGGCCUGAGUUUAUAUUGGGAUCUGCAGCCGGUCUGUACAGUACUGCACCCUGACAAAGUUUGAACAUUAUCGCCCCCCCGCCUCCCAAACUCCGCCUCUCCCACACACACUCGGACGGCAUCAAGGCUGGAAUGUGAAUUUGUGUGUAUUUUUAGCAUGUUGUCGUCGUCGUGGCAGAAUCAGGAGUAGCAGUUGUUGUUUUCAGCGUCACAUGAAGUUUCCAUCCAACAACAGCUGCUUCAUUUUUUGUGAUGGUUGCUGUAAAGCUCCACCCACACCGACCUCAUCAUCCAGGGUUUAACUGCCGUCUGCUUUACGUUAGAAACAUCAAGCACAACUGCAUCCAACUGCUUUCAAAUCUAAUAAAAAUGUAACAAAAUUGGUC